This 705-nucleotide long non-coding RNA is filed under the name Brassica napus (rape). Its description in RNAcentral is "long non-coding RNA (BNAP_LNC010707)". Lineage: Eukaryota; Viridiplantae; Streptophyta; Magnoliopsida; Brassicales; Brassicaceae. The record is from RNAcentral.
UGAUACGAUCAUAAAUAUCUCCAAAAAUCUAGAUAUUCGUUCUAUAUCCGCCCCUAUUCUUUAGGUAUAGUAUAUACAUAUGUAACUGGUAGAUAGAUAUGUAUAUGCGGAUGCGUUUAAGUAGUAUACAUUUUUGUUAAUGAUAAUAUACAUUCCAGCAGUUUUAACAUGUAAGAUGUUUUGGAUAAGUUCUUUUUUGUUUCACAUUGUAAGGUGUUUUAAAAUAUAUACUAGGGCUGGGCAUAAAAUAUGUAACCCGAAAUUCAGACCGAAAUACCCGAUUCGUACCUGAUCCGAAAUGUAAAACAAUUAUAUGAAUGUGUUUUUAGGAUGUUACAAAAUAUAUCUGAACCUAAAGAGUUAUUAAUCAAACCCGAACGGAUAACCCAAAAAAUAAAAAAAUUCGAAGAAAAUAAUCUGAAUAUUCAAAUUAAUAUACAAUAUAAAUAUUUAAACCAUAAAUAUGUACCUCAAAUAUCAAUUUCAUAUUUAUUUCGAUAUAAUAUCUAACAAGAAAUAUUUAAAAUUAAAUAAUUGCUUUAAAUACUCGAUUCUAUAUAAAUAAGUAAGGUUUUAGAUUUUACUUCAGAUAUAUCCGAACCGAUCCGAUAUAACCUGAGUCAAAUGAUAUAUGGUUACUUUAUGGAUUGUGGGAUGUGAUACAAAUCCGAUCCGAAACUGAUAUGUUAUAUCCAAUCCCGAUCU